AGCUCCAAUAGCGUAUAUUAAAGUUGCUGCAGUUAAAAAGCUCGUAGUUGCAUUUCCGAGGCAAGGGAUUAGUCCGACCUUUGGUGGGUAUUUAAUCCUCUUGCCUCGUCCUUGAGUGGUGCUUCUUGGUAUUAAGUUAUCGAGGAGAUAGCCGCUCAUCGUUUACUGUGAGAAAAUUAGAGUGUUCAAAGCAGGCUUAUGCCGUUGAAUAUAUUAGCAUGGAAUAAUAAGAUAGGACCUCGGUACUAUUGUGUUGGUUUGAGAACCAAGGUAAUGAUGAAUAGGGACAGUUGGGGGUAUUCGUAUUCAGUUGUCAGAGGUGAAAUUCUUAGAUUUUCGGAAGACGAACUACUGCGAAAGCAUUUACCAAGGAUGUUUUCA
RNAcentral lists this ribosomal RNA (381 nucleotides) under uncultured marine Chaetocerotaceae. RNAcentral describes it as "SSU rRNA". It matches the Rfam family "Eukaryotic small subunit ribosomal RNA", at positions 587 to 972 of the family's 1831-position model. Lineage: Eukaryota; Bacillariophyta; Thalassiosirophyceae; Chaetocerotales; Chaetocerotaceae. The record is from RNAcentral.